This 464-nucleotide ribosomal RNA is filed under the name Vreelandella stevensii. Its description in RNAcentral is "partial 16S ribosomal RNA". It matches the Rfam family "Bacterial small subunit ribosomal RNA", at positions 338 to 795 of the family's 1533-position model. Lineage: Bacteria; Pseudomonadati; Pseudomonadota; Gammaproteobacteria; Oceanospirillales; Halomonadaceae. The record is from RNAcentral.
CCUACGGGUGGCAGCAGUGGGGAAUAUUGGACAAUGGGCGAAAGCCUGAUCCAGCCAUGCCGCGUGUGUGAAGAAGGCCUUCGGGUUGUAAAGCACUUUCAGUGGGGAAGAAAGCCUUGGGGCUAAUACCCUCGAGGAAGGACAUCACCCACAGAAGAAGCACCGGCUAACUCCGUGCCAGCAGCCGCGGUAAUACGGAGGGUGCGAGCGUUAAUCGGAAUUACUGGGCGUAAAGCGCGCGUAGGCGGUCUGAUAAGCCGGUUGUGAAAGCCCCGGGCUCAACCUGGGAACGGCAUCCGGAACUGUCAGGCUAGAGUGCAGGAGAGGAAGGUAGAAUUCCCGGUGUAGCGGUGAAAUGCGUAGAGAUCGGGAGGAAUACCAGUGGCGAAGGCGGCCUUCUGGACUGACACUGACGCUGAGGUGCGAAAGCGUGGGUAGCAAACAGGAUUAAUACCCUUGUAGUC